This 253-nucleotide ribosomal RNA is filed under the name uncultured bacterium. RNAcentral's name for it is "partial 16S ribosomal RNA". It matches the Rfam family "Bacterial small subunit ribosomal RNA", at positions 524 to 776 of the family's 1533-position model. The record is from RNAcentral.
UACGGAGGGUGCAAGCGUUAAUCGGAAUGACUGGGCGUAAAGGGUGCGUAGGUGGUUUAUUAAGUUAUAGGUGAAAUCACUGGGCUUAACCUGGUGCGGAAUUAUAAUACUGAUAGACUCGAGGACAGGAGAGGGUAGUGGAAUUUCCGGUGUAGCGGUGAAAUGCGUAGAGAUCGGAAGGAACACCAGUUGCGAAGGCGACCACCUGGACUGAUACUGACACUGAGGUGCGAAAGCGUGGGGAGCAAACAGG